CAGGUGGCUGUACCGACUCUGAUAACGUAUCCUGAGUGAGCCAUGUUUCCGUGAAGUAGAAAAUGUUGCAAUCUCUGAUGUCUCUCUGGAAGGCAACCCUUGCUCGGAUUUCAUCUACCUUUUUGUCAAGAGACUCUACAUUGGCAAGUAGUAUACUCGGGAGCGGUGAGCGAUGUGCCUGUCUACGGAGCCUGACCAGAAGACCGCUCCAUCUGCCCCUUCUGCGGCGCCGUUGUUUUGGGUCGAGCACCUGCUGGGAUCCAAUCCAUUGUCCUGGGUGGUGGACCAAACAGAGGAUCCUCUUCGAGAAAGUCGUAUUCCUGGUCAUAAUGUUGUUGAUGCCCCUCCUUGUUCGGGUGGUGCUCGGCGAUCGACGUCACCGGUCUUCUAGCCACCAUUGAUCAGUUUUUCAUUUUCCAUUAGUUUUGUCUGGUCUCCUUACACACCUGUUUCCUAUCCCAGUAAUUACAUGUUGUGUAUUUAACCCUCAUAUCCUUGUCGGUGAUUGUUUGUUAUGUACGUGUUGUUGAUGUAUCGGUGUGCGACGGGUUAUUGUUUACCCAAAUAAUUUUUCUACGUUGGUUUUGGAGUUAGUUCUUUUAAUAAAUACUCCAUUUUUUUUAAACCACUUUGGUUUCUCCUGCGCCUGACUUCCCUGCCACCUACAUACACGGAUUAUGACUCUCUGUCUCUCUCUCUCUCUGUCUCUCUCACUUUCUCUUGCUUUCUCUCACUCUCUACACAUAGAAAACAAAGCCGUGUAUAGUUUCUGUGACUGCUGCAGUGGAAUGGUCUCUCGGGACCUCCUCUUCUUUCUGAUGACGUGGAUGUUGAUUAAGGGAACCCUCCACACCUCUUUGAUUCAGAGGAGUUUGGUUAAAUGUGGAAGACACAUUUCAGUUCAAUGCAUUUGACGAGGUAUCCCCUUUCCCUCUCUUUUUCUCUCUCGCUCUCCCUCUCUAUUUCUCUCCCCCUUUCUCUCUCCCUCUCUCCCCCCCUCCUCCCUGUGAAUGACUGCUCUAUAUGUUCGUGAGAGUUUCACCUUUCCACAGAAGGGUCAUAUUAGUGUGUAGUCCAAACUGUUGGGACCCUACAGACAGAAGUUGGCAGAUCAUCUGUACCGACUUCAGACGAGUCCCAAGACGCUUGUGGGGGUUGUAGAGUAAAACUGAGAACAUCAUCGUGUUCAUGAGUCUCAUCUUUCCAUAAUAGUUGUAGGCCAAACUGUUCGAAUUCUACAGAUGAUUUUAUGAGAAGACCGAUUUUCGGGAUGUCUCAUGGUUUGACAAACUCUGCCCUAGCACAGAAGUGCGACAUCAGCGGAUGCGGUGGAUUGAGAUGCAUCCAACAAAAAAAAAAACAGAUACUGUAUGUCUAGUUUAAACUGACAGAUUUUUAUGGGGAUUUUUGUAUUAUGCUAAUUAGAUUUCCGCGGGGGUGCGUACAUCGACUUGAGGGGGUUAACUCUUUUAGGAAAGGUUUUUGGGUAUAAAAACAUCUUGUUCAUCUUAUUAACUGCUAAUCAAAAUUGUGAUUAGUUGUAUUAUCUGGGCUGAAACAAAAGCUUGCACACCUUGCUCUCUUGGGUUGGUGACCAGUGAUGUAGAGUAGAUGGAUGCGUGCUUGUUCAUCUUAUCAACUGUUCAUCAUAGUUGGGUUGGAACAAAAGCCUGCACGCCAGUCCAACUGGGCACAGGCGUCAGUUCUAGGUCUAGUUUUUAUUUAUAUUUCGUUGAGUUGUCAACUAAUGUGAAUAAAAUAAAAUCACCAUGUCAUUGGAUUUAGGUUAAAAGUUGGGGGUGGACCAGCUUUAAUAUUGAGGAUAUUGCAAAUCCAAUCCGUUUUCCAUGUUGAUUCAACGUCAUCACAUUGAUUUUUCUGUGUUGAAAUUAGGUGGAAACAAUGUAGAUUUAACCAGUUUUUGCACAGUGGGAAAGCCCUCCAGGACCGCUGAUGACCAUUGUGAAAGUAUUUCGCAAGAUGUUGUCUGAUCAAAAAA
This 1999-nucleotide long non-coding RNA is filed under the name Salmo salar (Atlantic salmon). RNAcentral's name for it is "lncRNA (ENSSSAG00000088409.1)". Lineage: Eukaryota; Metazoa; Chordata; Actinopteri; Salmoniformes; Salmonidae. The record is from RNAcentral.